This 482-nucleotide ribosomal RNA is filed under the name uncultured bacterium. Its description in RNAcentral is "partial 16S ribosomal RNA". It matches the Rfam family "Bacterial small subunit ribosomal RNA", at positions 36 to 507 of the family's 1533-position model. The record is from RNAcentral.
CUUUCCCUCUGUCGGCAUGCCUUACACAUGCAAGUCGAACGGUAACAGGUCUUCGGAUGCUGACGAGUGGCGAACGGGUGAGUAAUACAUCGGAACGUGCCCAGACGUGGGGGAUAACGAGGCGAAAGCUUUGCUAAUACCGCAUACGAUCUAAGGAUGAAAGCAGGGGACCGCAAGGCCUUGUGCGUUUGGAGCGGCCGAUGGCAGAUUAGGUAGUUGGUGGGAUAAAAGCUUACCAAGCCGACGAUCUGUAGCUGGUCUGAGAGGACGACCAGCCACACUGGGACUGAGACACGGCCCAGACUCCUACGGGAGGCAGCAGUGGGGAAUUUUGGACAAUGGGCGAAAGCCUGAUCCAGCAAUGCCGCGUGCAGGAUGAAGGCCUUCGGGUUGUAAACUGCUUUUGUACGGAACGAAAAGGCUCUGGCUAAUACCUGGGGCACAUGACGGUACCGUAAGAAUAAGCACCGGCUAACUACGUG